This 79-nucleotide non-coding RNA is filed under the name Rhodospirillales bacterium. The record is from RNAcentral. Lineage: Bacteria; Pseudomonadati; Pseudomonadota; Alphaproteobacteria; Rhodospirillales.
GCCCGCUCACGUGGCGAUUUGCCCAACCGGCUUGCGGCCACGUUAAAAAAACCCGCUAAAAGGUUGGAGCUGGCAAAGC